GAAUGCUGACAUAAGUAACGAUAAAGCGGGUGAAAAGCCCGCUCGCCGGAAGACCAAGGGUUCCUGUCCAACGUUAAUCGGGGCAGGGUGAGUCGACCCCUAAGGCGAGGCCGAAAGGCGUAGUCGAUGGGAAACGGGUUAAUAUUCCCGUACUUGGUGUUACUGCGAAGGGGGGACGGAGAAGGCUAUGUUGGCCGGGCGACGGUUGUCCCGGUUUAAGCGUGUAGGUGUGUGUUCCAGGUAAAUCCGGUUCACUUUAACACUGAGGCGUGAUGACGAGGCACUACGGUGCUGAAGCAACAAAUGCCCUGCUUCCAGGAAAAGCCUCUAAGCAUCAGGUAACAUCAAAUCGUACCCCAAACCGACACAGGUGGUCAGGUAGAGAAUACCAAGGCGCUUGAGAGAACUCGGGUGAAGGAACUAGGCAAAAUGGUGCCGUAACUUCGGGAGAAGGCACGCUGACAUGUAGGUGAAGUGAUUUACUCAUGGAGCUGAAGUCAGUCGAAGAUACCAGCUGGCUGCAACUGUUUAUUAAAAACACAGCACUGUGCAAACACGAAAGUGGACGUAUACGGUGUGACGCCUGCCCGGUGCCGGAAGGUUAAUUGAUGGGGUCAGCGCAAGCGAAGCUCCUGAUCGAAGCCCCGGUAAACGGCGGCCGUAACUAUAACGGUCCUAAGGUAGCGAAAUUCCUUGUCGGGUAAGUUCCGACCUGCACGAAUGGCGUAAUGAUGGCCAGGCUGUCUCCACCCGAGACUCAGUGAAAUUGAACUCGCUGUGAAGAUGCAGUGUACCCGCGGCAAGACGGAAAGACCCCGUGAACCUUUACUAUAGCUUGACACUGAACAUUGAGCCUUGAUGUGUAGGAUAGGUGGGAGGCUUUGAAGUGUGGACGCCAGUCUGCAUGGAGCCGACCUUGAAAUACCACCCUUUAAUGUUUGAUGUUCUAACGUGGACCCGUAAUCCGGGUUGCGGACAGUGUCUGGUGGGUAGUUUGACUGGGGCGGUCUCCUCCUAAAGAGUAACGGAGGAGCACGAAGGUUGGCUAAUCCUGGUCGGACAUCAGGAGGUUAGUGCAAUGGCAUAAGCCAGCUUGACUGCGAGCGUGACGGCGCGAGCAGGUGCGAAAGCAGGUCAUAGUGAUCCGGUGGUUCUGAAUGGAAGGGCCAUCGCUCAACGGAUAAAAGGUACUCCGGGGAUAACAGGCUGAUACCGCCCAAGAGUUCAUAUCGACGGCGGUGUUUGGCACCUCGAUGUCGGCUCAUCACAUCCUGGGGCUGAAGUAGGUCCCAAGGGUAUGGCUGUUCGCCAUUUAAAGUGGUACGCGAGCUGGGUUUAGAACGUCGUGAGACAGUUCGGUCCCUAUCUGCCGUGGGCGCUGGAGAACUGAGGGGGGCUGCUCCUAGUACGAGAGGACCGGAGUGGACGCAUCACUGGUGUUCGGGUUGUCAUGCCAAUGGCACUGCCCGGUAGCUAAAUGCGGAAGAGAUAAGUGCUGAAAGCAUCUAAGCACGAAACUUGCCCCGAGAUGAGUUCUCCCUGAGACUUUAGGU
Molecule: ribosomal RNA, 1553 nt
Filed under: Salmonella enterica subsp. enterica serovar Gaminara
Lineage: Bacteria; Pseudomonadati; Pseudomonadota; Gammaproteobacteria; Enterobacterales; Enterobacteriaceae
Description: partial 23S ribosomal RNA
Rfam family: Bacterial large subunit ribosomal RNA
Source: RNAcentral